Cercocebus atys (sooty mangabey) is the source of this 119-nucleotide ribosomal RNA. The record is from Ensembl. NCBI's taxonomy places the organism in Eukaryota, Metazoa, Chordata, Mammalia, Primates, Cercopithecidae.
AUCUACAGCCAUACCACCCUGAAUGUGCCCGAUCUCGUCUGUUCUUGGAAGCUAAGCAGUGUCCAGCCUGGUUAAUACUUGCAUGGGAGACCGCCUGGGAAUACCAGGUGCUGUAGGUU